UUGAACGCUGGCGGCAGGCCUAACACAUGCAAGUCGCACGGUAACAGGAAACAGCUUGCUGUUUCGCUGACGAGUGGCGGACGGGUGAGUAAUGUCUGGGAAACUGCCUGAUGGAGGGGGAUAACUACUGGAAACGGUAGCUAAUACCGCAUAACGUCGCAAGACCCAAGAGGGGGACCUUCGGGCCUCUUGCCAUCGGAUGUGCCCAGAUGGGAUUAGCUAGUAGGUGGGGUAACGGCUCACCUAGGCGACGAUCCCUAGCUGGUCUGAGAGGAUGACCAGCCACACUGGAAAUGAGACACGGUCCAGACUCCUACGGGAGGCAGCAGUGGGGAAUAUUGCACAAUGGGCGCAAGCCUGAUGCAGCCAUGCCGCGUGUAUGAAGAAGGCCUUCGGGUUGUAAAGUACUUUCAGCGGGGAUGAAGGGAGUAAAGUUAAUACCUUUGCUCAUUGACGUGACCCGCAGAAGAAGCACCGGCUAACUCCGU
RNAcentral lists this ribosomal RNA (488 nucleotides) under uncultured bacterium. Its description in RNAcentral is "partial 16S ribosomal RNA". It matches the Rfam family "Bacterial small subunit ribosomal RNA", at positions 30 to 506 of the family's 1533-position model. The record is from RNAcentral.